UACAGAGGUCCCAAGCGUUGUUCGGAUUCACUGGGCGUAAAGGGUGCGUAGGUGGUGAGGUAAGUCGGAUGUGAAAUCUCGGAGCUUAACUCCGAAACUGCAUUGGAAACUACCUUGCUCGAGGGUUGGAGGGGGGACUGGAAUUCUCGGUGUAGCAGUGAAAUGCGUAGAUAUCGAGAGGAACACCAGUGGCGAAGGCGAGUCCCUGGACAACUCCUGACACUGAGGCACGAAAGCUAGGGGAGCAAACAGGAUUAGAUACCCUGGUAGUCCUAGCCGUAAACGGUGCACGUUUGCUGUAAAAGGAAUCGACCCCUUUUGUGGCGUAGCCAACGCGUUAAACGUGCCGCCUGGGAAGUACGGUCGCAAGAUUAAAACUCAAAG
RNAcentral lists this ribosomal RNA (384 nucleotides) under uncultured bacterium. Its description in RNAcentral is "bacterial SSU rRNA". It matches the Rfam family "Bacterial small subunit ribosomal RNA", at positions 524 to 906 of the family's 1533-position model. The record is from RNAcentral.